CGAGCAACUUGGUUAAGCUACUAAGAGCACACGGAGGAUGCCUAGGCGCUAGGAGCCGAAGAAGGACGUGGCGAACAACGAAACUGCCUCGGGGAGCUGUAAGCAAGCUUUGAUCCGG
RNAcentral lists this ribosomal RNA (118 nucleotides) under Paenibacillus timonensis. Its description in RNAcentral is "partial 23S ribosomal RNA". It matches the Rfam family "Bacterial large subunit ribosomal RNA", at positions 1 to 107 of the family's 2925-position model. The record is from RNAcentral. Lineage: Bacteria; Bacillati; Bacillota; Bacilli; Caryophanales; Paenibacillaceae.